This 25077-nucleotide long non-coding RNA is filed under the name Lathyrus oleraceus (garden pea). Its description in RNAcentral is "Pisum sativum (pea) long non-coding RNA (PSAT_LNC037021)". The record is from RNAcentral. Lineage: Eukaryota; Viridiplantae; Streptophyta; Magnoliopsida; Fabales; Fabaceae.
UAAAAUGAAAAUGUAUGUACAAAAUGGUAGGUGCAAAUUUGAGGUGCUACAGCUGCCCCUAUUCAAUCAGCUGGGAACCUGAACGGAUGAGAGCAACGGCUGUCAGACUUUCAAGGUACACAGGGAUUGAAUACCAAAGAACCGUAGAAAUUUGCACUCUGCGGGAUAUGAAGAAAAGCCAAGCCAUUUACUGAUGACGGCUGCACGAUAACUUCAGGAAAGCGAAACCAUUUACCGAUGGCUAAAUACUGGAAACUUGAUAUUUACCGAUAUCAACUUCAGCGAGACCAUUUACCGAUGGCUGCUGGGAAACAUCUUGAUAUUAAAAGGAAGCAAGACCAUUUACCGAUGGUGGCUUCAAAGCAACUUGAUAUUUACCGAUAUUAACUUCAACAAGACCAUUUACCGAUGGCUGCUCCAACUGGGGACUCGAUAUUUACCGAUAUCGAAGAAAGCGGGGCCAUUUACCGAUGGCGGCUAGACUGGGAAUUCGAUAUUUACCGAUAUCGAAGCAAACGGGGCCAUUUAUCGAUGGCGUCUCCACCCGGGGAGGAAAAAUAUAUUUGCAAUUGGAAUCAUACAAGACGUUUACCGACGACUCCUGGGGAUUUUUGAUUUUUAUCAAAGGAAAUACGCACGACCAAACAUUUACCGAUGACUGGGAUGAGACUUGAUGUUUACCGACAUCGAAAGAUGAUGUUUACCAACAUCCAAAAACGACCAGACAUUUACCGAUGACUGGGGGAAAUACUCGACCAGACGUCAAUGGACGAAAGGGAGAGACUCAACGUUUAUCGACACCAACAGAGAGGUGAACACUUUACUGGGGACGAAAAAACAAAUACUUGCAACCCGAACCCAAAUAGGACGUUUACCGACAACUCUACUGGGGAUCUCUAGCUGGGGAAUUAUCAGACAUUUAUCGAUGACUGGGGGAAAACUCGACGUUUACCGACAUCGAAAGAUGAUGUUUACCGACACCAAAAAAUGACCAGACAUUUACCGAUGACUGGGGUAGGACUAGAUGUUUUACUGACACCGAAACAAUGGUGUUUACCGACACACCGACAUCGAAAGAUGAUGUUUACCGACACCAAAAAAUGACCAGACAUUUACCGAUGACUGGGGUAGGACUAGAUGUUUUACUGACACCGAAACAAUGGUGUUUACCGACACCAAAGAAAGAACACACGCGGGUGCUGACAUGACACUUACCGGUGUCACAAGAAUAACAACUUUAAAACGUCAAGGCAAGGCUAACCACUUGCUGGGGAUCUCACUGGGGAGAAACAAGCUUUCCGUUCGCGGACGGGGGAGGAAAUAAACCUCUCUGGGGAAUAUCAAUCCUGAAUGCUGUCAGGAGCAACUGUAGCAAACGUGCUGUACAGAUGUUGAACAAAUGAUCCGCCUCUGCCGGGGAUACGAUCUGGUUAGGUUUAACACAUGAAUGCAUAUGUUUGAAUUUUUCUAUGGCGUAAUGCUCCAUAUUGAAUGGAAAUGCUACGCAUUUGAGGAUGCCAUGAUCACUAUAUGCAAAAUGCAAAGGAUGAACAACUCCGGCUUGGGAGCCAAAACUGAUCAGAUACUCCAACUCUGCGGGGAGACUCUGCUGAAGAGUACUCUGCGGGGAGAGCACCGACUUCUCACUCAUGCUGGAGAAUAGCACUGCUGCUGGGGAAAGGUAAACUCCGCUGGGGACAUCCUUCAUAGGACCCAAUCCACUCGGGGACUCAGCUUGGGGGAACAACCAAUACAACUCGCUGGGGACGAACCAAAGCGACUGCGCUGAGGAGUAAACAAAACAACUCGCUGGGGAGUAAUAAGGCGACUUGCUAGGGACAACCUGGUGACUUCACUGGGGAGAGCCAACCAAUCCACAAGUAGGAAAAACUCUGCUUUGGGAAAUAAAUGCUACUCCGCUGGGGACGACCCAUCCAGUCCACAGAUAGGAUAACUGCUGGAGAUAAAUUUCAUUGAACCCGCUCCACUCGGGGAUUCAUUGAGGAAAAUUAUCAACACCAGUCUCUGCUCGAGUGCUAGGGAAAGCAACUCUGUUGGGGAUAACACAACACUCUGCUGAGGAAGAGCAAAACUCUGGUGGGGAAAGUAAUAUCAGACUCCAUACUGGAGAUAUACAUCUACAACCCUGCUGAGGACAGGCGCUCACAACCACGCUGGGGAUAGUGAUACUUCAACCCGACUGCUGGGGAAUAAACCACUGACACCUCCGCUGGGGAUAUAACAUCCUUCCAACUCAGUGGGGAUAAUCCUGCUUCCAACCUCAGUUGGGAACUCAACAACUGGGGCAAUCGGCAAAUACAGGCCUGCUGAGGAUAGGCAAUCCUUAGAUCUGUUGGGGAAUAAAAGGCACUAUUCACAGACAUCUCCGCAGGGGCACAUAGCUCUAAUAGCUUCCAUACUUGCUUGGGGAAAUAUCCGCUGGGGAAACGUCCUCACAGAUGACGACCUGCAAAACAGCUCAACAAAAUGCCCCCAGGGGAUACAUGGACGAGAUACGCUCAAGUGUCCUCAACAUUCAAAAUGAUUUUCAAAUGUUUUAUCUUUUUGCACGUUAUUGUUUAGCCUUCAUGUUCUUAUAUGCAAUGCUUAUCAAAAAUUCGGACGUUUUUGCAAACAAAACAGUAAAAAUAAAAACAAGAGAGCCAUUUAUCUGAAUAACGACUUUUAUUGAUUGAAAAUGGGCCUGAAAAGGCAAAUACAUUGGGAAGCAAUUCCUAGAAAGAGGUAAUUGCGCACAAAAGGAAAAAUCUAUCCUAAUGGCAAUGUGAACACGACAUCCACUAUUUCCCAAUUCUGUUAUAACCCACAGAUCAUCAGCUUUCCUCCCAACUUCCUUGCUUUCUGAGAAGAAUGACUGGAUGGAUCACAUCUUUCGAGAUGGCAGACGACAAAGCUCGAUGAAGUACAGACAACUCAGACUGUAGUCUUCGCUUUAAUCCCUCUUUUGGCUGGAUCGCCCUUUCGGGUUUUCAAUCCACCGGGAUACCCAUUUUUGCCUAAGCCGCCCUUGCGGGUUUUCGACUUACCGGGUGUACAAAUUCUUUUCAUUUUUAUCCCUAAUUUUUGCCCGAACCUUUUCUUUCUGUUUUUUGGUUCGCCGGGAUGCCCUUUUUUGCCUGGACUCUUUUAUUCUUUUUGUCCAGCGGGUCAAUUUAUGCGAAGUAUUUUUUGACUACAUCUGAGUUAACAGGAGACGGAAAAUCUUCACCAUCCAUAGUUGUAAGCAUCAAGGCUCCACCGGAGAAGACCUUCUUCACAACAUAUGGACCUUCAUAAUUAGGAGUCCACUUGCCCCUGUUAUCUGUACCGGGAGGGAGGAUCCUCUUCAAAACUAGAUCACCGAUCUGAUAGCUUCGAGGACGCACUUUCUGAUCAAAGGCUCGCUUCAUCCUUCGCUGAUACAACUGUCCAUGGCAUACAGCUGCUAACCGUCUCUCCUCGAUAAGGCUCAACUCGUUAAACCUUGUUCGAAUCCACUCGGCUUCGUCCAGCUUGACAUCCAAUAAAACUCUCAGAGAAGGAAUCUCCACUUCAACAGGUAGGACAGCUUCCAUACCAUACACAAGGGAGUAAGGGGUUGCCCCGGUCGACGUACGUACUGAGGUACGGUACCCAUGCAAAGCGAAAGGCAGCAUCUCAUGCCAAUCCUUGUACGUAACGACCAUCUUCUGCACAAUCUUCUUGAUAUUCUUGUUCGCCGCUUCUACAGCACCAUUCAUCUUCGGUCUGUAAGGAGAAGAAUUGUGAUGUUCAAUCUUGAAAUCUUUACAAAGCUCUUUCAUCAUCUUGUUAUUGAGAUUCGAACCAUUGUCAGUGAUGAUUCUCUCAGGAACUCCAUAACGACAUAUGAUUUCUUUCUUGAUGAACCGGGUAACCACUUGUUUGGUAACGUUAGCAUAGGAAGCUGCUUCCACCCAUUUGGUGAAAUAGUCAAUCGCAACCAAGAUGAAGCGAUGUCCAUUCGAAGCAGUAGGCUCAAUCUUCCCAAUCAUAUCAAUGCCCCACAUGGCAAACGGCCAAGGCGAAUUCAUGACAUUCAGAGGGCUUGGUGGUACAUGCACCUUAUCAGCAUAGAUUUGACACUUAUGGCACUUCCGAGCAUACUUGAAACAAUCGGAUUCCAUAGUCAUCCAGUAAUAACCCGCUCUCAACAAUUUCUUAGCCAUUGCAUGUCCGCCGGCAUGAGUACCGAAGGAACCUUCAUGAACUUCCUGCAUUAACAUGUCCGCCUCGGGUCUGUCCACGCAUCUGAGCAAGACCAUGUCAAAGUUUCUCUUAUACAGCACAUCAUCCUGAUUCAAAUAGAAGCUUCCAGCUAGCCUUCUCAGGGUUUUCUUGUCAUUCUUCGACGCACCUUCAGGAUACUCCUGAGUCUUGAGGAAGUUCUUGAUGUCAUAAUACCACGGCUUCUCAUCAAUCACAACAGACUCGGCUGCAAACACAUACGCAGGCCUCUCGAGUCGAUUCACCGCAACAUGUGGCACAUGAUUCCACCAAUGAACUUUGAUCAUAGAAGACAAAGUAGCCAAGGCAUCAGCCAUCUGAUUCUCAUCCCGGGGAACAUGAUACAACCUCACCUUCUUGAAGAACGUCAGUAUUCUUCUGGUGUAAUCUCUAUAAGGAAUCAAAUGUGGCUGAUUAGUAUUCCAAUCUCCAUUAACCUGGUUGAUCACUAGAGCGGAAUCUCCAUAGAUGUCAAGAGUCUUGAUUCUCAGGUCGAUGGCUUCUAUCCCCAUGAUACAAGCCUCAUACUCAGCUUCAUUGUUGGUGACGUCAAAAGUUAGCCUGGCAGAGAAAGGUAUAUGAGCCCCUUUAGGAUUAAUGAGCACUGCCCCAACACCGUUACCAUUCAUAUUCACAGCCCCAUCAAACAUCAAUGUCCACUUGUCAUCAGGAUCCGGUCCUUCCUCGACAAGAGGCUCUUCACAAUCUUUCAUCUUAAGAUAUAUGAUGUCUUCAUCAGGGAAUUCAAACAUCAUUGGCUGAUAAUCAUCGAUCGGUUGCUCGGCAAGGUAGUCUGACAGAAUACUACCCUUAAUAGCCUUCUGCGACGUGUACUGAAUAUCAUAUUCUGUUAGAAUCAUCUGCCAACGAGCAACACGCCCGGUGAGAGCCGGUUUCUCAAAGAUGUACUUCACUGGGUCCAUCUUAGAAAUCAAUAAGGUAGUAUGGUUCAACAUAUACUGCCUCAGUCGGCGAGCAGCCCAGGCCAAAGCACAACAAGUUUUCUCGAGCAGUGAAUAUCUUGUUUCACAGUCGGUAAACUUUUUGCUAAGGUAGUAUAUGGCAUGCUCUUUUCGACCAGACUCGUCAUGCUGUCCCAAUACACACCCCAUCGAAUUCUCAGUCACUGAUAGGUACAUUAUCAAUGGUCUCCCUGGAACUGGAGGUAUCAGGAUUGGAGGUUUCUGUAAAUACUCUUUUAUCUUGUCAAAAGCUUUCUGACAGUCAUCAUUCCACCUGAUUGCUUGAUUCUUUCUGAGCAAUUUGAAAAUUGGUUCACACGUGGCAGUUAGGUGAGAUAUGAACCUUGCAAUGUAGUUCAACCUCCCUAAAAACCCACGGACUUGCUUUUUCGUUUUCGGUUCAGGCAUCUCUUGAAUAGCUUUGACUUUUGCUGGAUCAACCUCAAUCCCUUUCUCACUGACAAUGAAGCCUAACAGCUUCCCNCAUAUUCUCUCAGCAUCUCAAUCAGCCUCCUCUUGACAGAGUCCUCUAAAGCAGCCCCAAUCUUGAUCUCUCUUCUGGCGUCCUCAGUACCCAGAUUAACAAUCUCCAACUCCUCCUGAUGAGGUUGGAUGACCCUUUCCUCCUGCUUCAGCAAUCUGACCAAUUCUGCGGGGAGUUCACAGUCUUCCUCACUCUCCUCUUCAGCUUGGUAGAUGGGAUUAUCAAAAUCAUACUGAGCCAUAACAGAACUGUUCAUAGUGUAUUCCGUGGGAUCACUUCUGCAUGUUAAUGCCUUGUUUUAGAAAAAGAGUUCAAGAAAGUCACAAAAACAUUGCCAUUUUUAUUAUUUUUUAAAAAACGAAAACAAAAAUAGAAAGACAGGGAUCACAAAAUUUGAUUGCAAAACGUCCUUUAUUAAUGAUAAACAUUAAAAACAUGAUGAGGCCCUACAAUGAACCACUACGCCUUGGGCAGAAUGUAGGGUUUUCAUGCAAAAUGAAAAAAACAAAAGAAAAUUACUCUGUCUGAAGAGUAACUUGGACCACUUCUUCAGCCGUCCAGUUGUUGAUAGACUCCCCUGGUGCACACGGGCGAACCCAGUUGUCUAGAUCGCAAUCACUGUCACAGUCUUCACUACCGGUUGCAAAGACGUCGCCAUGAUUCAUCAGCCCAACGCUGGUAAAGGUACUCGGACCCGUCUGCACACUCUGCUCUACUUGGAGAGGCUCAUAACCAAUGUCAAAUUUGUCUUCUUUGACAGGCAAGUCCACCAUCUUGCCCCAACCCUCAGCUUUACCGGAGUCAACAACCUCUUUGGCCUGCUUGUAUGAAGCAAUCGAAGCACCCGACCUCCUCUGAUCAGCACACGCCACCCCUUCGAGGGCCACAGUCUCAAAUGCCUGGCACAAAGUUUCGUGGAUCUCGCCAUCCACCUCGACAUAUUUGAACGAGGACAGGUGACUCACCAAGAUAUCUUCUUCGCCACACACGGUCACAAUCUGACCGUUCCAGACAUACUUGAGCUUUUGGUGGAGAGUCGACGAGACUGCUCCUGCUGCAUGGAUCCAUGGACGCCCCAACAAACAACUGUAGGCGGGCUGAAUGUCCAUAACAUAGAAGAUGAUGUCAAACACCUCCGGACCUAUCUUCACCGGCAAAGUAACUUCCCCAAACACAGAACGUUUGGAUCCGUCGAAAGCACGAACGGUCAGGUCACUAGGAGUAAGCACAACCCCUUCAACAUCAAUCUUCUUCAGAAUCUGCUUAGGCAGCACAUUCAGCGACGACCCGGUGUCUACCAGCACGUGAGACAACACUGCCCCCUUGCAUUCCAUAGUGAUAUGCAAGGCUUUGUUAUGAUUGCGACCUUCAGGCGUUAAGUCUAGGUCAGUGAAUCCUACACCAUGCCUGGUGCUCACAUUGGCCAUCACACCCUCCAGUUGGUUGACGGAAAUCUCUUGAGGUACGUAAGCCAUGUUCAGCAUCUUCAUAAGGCAUUACGAUGUGCCUCAGAGCACAGCAUGCAAAAGAGAGUAUUGAAAUCUUGGACGGAGUCUGAUUAAGUUGAUCUACGAUCUUAUAAUCACUCUUCUUUAUGAUCUUCAUAAACUCCUCCACGUCCUUUUCAAAUGAACCCUCAGGCACCUCCUUCUGAGCCGGUUCUUCGUCAUUGACAACCUGUUUGCCUUUUGACUUAGCAGAAGCCUCAGCAUUAGCAUCUCUCAACGGCUGAGGAGCAAACAGUCGUCCACUUCGAGUAAAACCUCCGGGUCCACCAACGUUGUCCACAACGGGACUCACAACCACAGGAGUUUUAACUGGUGCACUGAUUGUCACAGGCGCUUGACUUACUGGCCUAAUCUGAUUCUCAGCCCUUCGACUGCUGCGGUAGGCAUUAUCAUAUUUCCAUGGCACAACCCUACUAUUCUCAACUGGUCUUCUUCCAGACGCAACGAUAGUAGUUGGAGCACUGAUAGUUACAGGAGCGGAAAUGGUAAAUGGGGUACCACUUGUUGCAGGUGCACUAACAACCCUCUGGCCUCGUCCUUCAGACGGUUUGAAAUAAAUGGUGACAGUUGACACUGACCCACGAUCUCUUACAGCCCUACUGAAUUACAGACAUCCCUGAUCCAUCAAACCCUGGAUACCAGCCCGCAACUGACCACAACCAUUCUCAGAUUUCGCACAAUCAAUACAACCCUCGUCACAGCCCGGGUCUACACCCCCAUUCAGCAAACAGCCCUUCACAACUAGCUGAGAAGUCUGAAUAUCAUCAACAUUAACAACCAGAUCUUCAGCUUCUUCUCCUUCAAUAUUGUUCACUCUAUGCCCACCGUGCUGAGGCAUAGGAUUGUUCACGACGUUAGGCACUGGAGCGAAGUUGAUCGUCUUGGCAUCGAUCAAAUCUUGGACUUUGUGCUGGAAAGCCCGGCAUUUCUCAGUAUGGUACCCUGGUGCCCCAGAGUGAAAGUCACAACGGACGUUGGCGUCGUAUCCAGGAGGCAAUAUUGUUGGCGGAGCCAUUGUACGCAACUCAACAAACCCCAACCUGAGUAGUUCGGGCAGCAGUUCGGCGAGUGAAAGUCACAACGGACGUUGGCGUCGUAUCCAGGAGGCAAUAUUGUUGGCGGAGCCAUUGUACGCAACUCAACAAACCCCAACCUGAGUAGUUCGGGCAGCAGUUCGGCGUACGACAUUGGUAGCAGAUCAAAACGUCGAUCAGGCAUCCUUUGUCUGGGCUGAUACGGACAUUGCUGUUGUUGUUGUUGUUGCGGUUGUUGAACUCUUUGUUGUUGUUGCGGAGGUUGACGUUGUUGAGGUGCAGGAAUGGUCACUGCAGCAACCUGACGGUAUUGAUUUCUGUUCACACUUCCUCUGUACACAUUCCCUCGGUGUUGUACAACAUUGGUUUCCCCCUCUCUCCGGCGAGGUGCCCCAGCAAAUGGUUUCUUAGACGAUGAAGAACCCACAUCUUGAAUCUUACCGGCCUUGAUUAAACUUUCAGUUCUCUCACCACAGAUCACCACGUCUGAGAAACUACCGAAUGUGCAACUCCCCAUCCAGUCCAUAAAUACACCUUGAAGAGUACCAAUGAACAUGUCGGUUAACUCCCUCUCCAGCAUAGGGGGUUGUACUCUUGCAGCCAGUUCACGCCAUCUCUGGGCGUACUCCUUGAAGCUUUCACCAGAUUUUUGACAUAGACUCUGCAGCUGAGUCUGGCUAGGCGCCAUAUCCAUGUUAUGCUUGUAUUGCCUCAAGAAGGCCUCUCCCAGAUCCCUCCAGCAUCGGAUCGAAUCUCUCUUCAAUUCCAUGUACCAUUCCAAAGAAGCCCCAGAUAGACUAUCUUGGAAAAAGUACAUCCACAUCUUCUCAUCGUCUGUGUAAGCAGAGAUCUUCCUGUAGUAGGCCUGCACGUGGGUGCGAGGGCAAGAAGUGCCGUUGUACUUGUCAAAAGACGGUGCUUUGAACUUAUAAGGGAUUCUCAAACCUUCCACUAACCCCAUAUUGGUAACAUCAAAACCGAGAGAAUUCUGAGAUUCCAUAGCCCGGAUCUUCUCAGCAAGGGCAUCAACUUUACGAUCCCUCUCAUCAACCCUUCCCAAAACGUCUUCGUCUUCACUGAGCAGAGUGAACAUAUCCUCUUGUCUGUCAACAAUCGGAGCCUGAUUACGGGCCAGAGCACAGACUACUCUGGCAUUAGCGGUAUCUGGAUCAAUAGGUUGCCCGUUGAUUCGAAUACCCCUCAAUUCGUCACCUACAGCAUAAUUGUUGAUGGGCACAGCCGCAGUAGCAGGGUCAUUGAUCGGGCCUCCCUCUGGCAGAGCUUGGUUGAUCGGUGGAAUUGCAGCUUCUUGUCUCUGAACUAGAGCUCGAAGUUCUUCUUGACCUUGCGCAACCCCUUGCAUCAUAUGCAUGAACUGGGCCAUGUUAGCCCUCAUCUCAGCUAACUCAACUUGCACUUGAUCCAUGNGCUAACUCAGCUUGCACUUGAUCCAUGUUCCUUUGAUGAUUCAGUCUGGUUGAGUAGCGAUGCGGUCUUUGAUCAGCUAUCCUGCCUGAACACAGGAACCAAAGUGAGAAGUCACGAACAAGAACACUUGUUAUGCAAAAUGAUAUGAGUAUGGUGCUAAUGAUGCAUAUGAUGCACAUGAUAUGUUCAUUUCUCAGGCAUUCAAAGAGCCUGGUUCAUCCUCAAAAGAUGGCAACCUGCAGCAGCAAGGGAACAGCAAUACGAGAUAAAUGAAAUCAAAAAUGAAACACCAACAACCUUAUCUAUAGAUAAGAGUAACAGGCUCAUACAACAAAGUCAACAAAGAUCCAUACAAUCGGAAUACAACAAUGAAUCCCAUCCAACAAGCCUGGAGGUGAUUCUCAACAUACACAUCAAAGAUACAAGCUAAGACAAACGAUCUCCCGGAAUGAGAGUCUUCAAGUACUGACACUGGUCUAUCAACUGGUCACACUCUGAACAUUCUGGCAAAGGAGUGAUCUUCUCCUUCAGUUGUCUUCUGAGCUCUACCACUUCUCCUCCAAGAUGGUUCUCUGAUGCCUGUCUCAAAUCUACUUCCUUCUUCAACUGGAUGUCUUUGUCUCUGAGUUGCUUCUCUAGGUCUCUGAUCUUCUUCUGAUAACUGGCUUCAGCUCUCUGCAGCCUCAAGCACUCCCGGUGUUCUGCAUCUAACAUGGCUUCCAUCUCCUCGUAGGAUCUCUUCUUGCUUCUCAGUCUGCUAGCAUCUUCUCCCUGCACUCCUCUGAGUUGAUGAGCCAAGUUUAACCUAUCAGCUUUGGCUUUGUAAAGCUCCAUCUGGGUAUCUUGCUCCUUCUCUCUCAACCGGCGAUUCUCCAUCAGGGCUUGCUUGUAGUGCUCAGCGGGCACACUCUCAGCAAGGAUCAAAGGUGGUUGCUCCUGCAACGGCUCCAUCCUAUCGUAGGGUAACAACAAAGUCUCCACUCUCUCCUUGAUCCACUCGGUGUAGUCAGGCAUAGCAAUGGCAAACUUCUUCCCUAAGACAGAUCCAUCCUUAACACCAAUAGACUUCCAAGCUCUUCCUAUCUGCUCCAAUCUAGCCGGGUCACUCUGCUUCUCAAAAUACACACUUUCAGCUACCUCAGCCUCAAGUGGUUUUCCUUUCAUUACAAACCCUAACUGGCGAAGAGAAAGAACUGGAUUGUAAUUGAUGCAACCCUUAGUCCCUACGAGUGGCACGUUCCGGAACUCUCCACAACUCAAAAUAACAUUCCGCACAUCCAUCCGGUAUGACUGCCAUCUGAUAUCAUAUGAAGUAAGAGACAUGACCCUCUGAGUCCACUUAUGCGUGCUCUGAGCAUCCACAAAAGGUCCACUGACUGGCAGGAGAAAUUCCGCACAUCCAUCCGGUAUGACUGCCAUCUGAUAUCAUAUGAAGUAAGAGACAUGACCCUCUGAGUCCACUUAUGCGUGCUCUGAGCAUCCACAAAAGGUCCACUGACUGGCAGGAGAGACAUGAACCAUAUGAGCAAAAGUGGGAGACAACAUCUGAUAGCUCCACCCUUACCAUGCCUACUGUGAAUAGCAUAGUAAGUGUCAGCUAACAGAGUAGGAACCGGGUUUCCUCUGAGGAAAAUAAUAACUGCAGCAUAGUCCACAAAGUUGGGCAUACUCGGGAACAAGACAAUCCCAUAGAUCAUGAUGGCCAACUGAGCAUGAAAAGCUUCCCAAUUUCCCUUCUCUGCUUCUUCUCUAGCUACCCUCGACAGAAACUUCAAAGGCAAACCCUCAACACCCCCACUGGCCUUCCAACUAUCACUGAUUUCCUUGACACCCAAACGGAGAGCUCUAGCAACAACUAUGAAAUCGACCUCCUUGGGCACGUCCAAGAAAGGAACCUGAUGCAAGAUCGAAACAUUCAACAGAAUGGAGUACUCCUUGAGAGUAGGCGCCAACUGAUAAUCCUGAAAGGUGAAGCAACGAAGCUCUGGGUCGUAGAACUGAAGAAGAGUCUGCAACGGCACUGGAUCAACUACCAUCUUCAACAGCGUCAGAAUAUCUCCAUACUGGUCAACAAACCCCUUCUGGUUACCACUGGUCAUAAGGUUGCUCAACUCAAUCAGAGACGUCAAAGGCUCACGGUGAAAGCUGUAUGAACAAGUCUUCCGCUUCAACUCUGGGACUGUCGCCAUCUUUAUCAGUGAAUAGACUCUGGAAUGUACCUGAGAAAUGAUAUGCAUGCAGAGAUUAGUUUUUUUUCUUUUUUUCCUUUUUUUUUCCUUUUUUUUUCAUUCUUUUUUUUAUUUGCUUAUUUUUUUUGAAAAUAAACAUGCUAUGAUGCAAAUGAUGCAGACAAGACUGGCUGGCUGUGUAUCUCAGAACACAGGAUCGAAGCUUCGGUUUAGACUCGGAACCACAAUUCAUCUGAAACCCAAAGUCAACUGAGAAACUGUCAUCUGAACCCAUAGUCACCAACAGGACCACAAGUCACCCACUGUACCUGUAAUAAUGAUAAAUCCCUCCCCACUCACGGGUGUUGUCUAGGCCAGGGUAAGGUCGAGAGAAACGCAGCAUAAAUAACCUUUCGCAGAAUAUCAUCAUAUACACACCCGAAGUAUACAAUGAUAAUAUCCCACAAGGGUCUGAACUGCUCGUGACAUCAAUGUUCCGCUAAGUGGCGCGAUACCACCCGCUUCCCAUGAAUCACUCUAUUCCUAAGUAUCCUAAAUUUCACUCAUGGCCUGGGUAUUGGGCCUUUUACCUCGAGUAACUCCCACCCCAACAGAGAGAAACAGACAACCAGCCAGCCAGAUGAGCAGAUGAAUAUGAAUGAAUGCAAACAUUAAUGCACACAUAAAUGCAAACAAUAAAUAAAUGAAUGCAAUAAAUGAAACAGCAAAAGCAACCAAAUACUAACCUAGAGAGCGCUAGGAGAGACUUGCUUAGGGAAGAUGGACCAGCAAGAGGUCAACUUCUCAUGUUCCCCAGCAGAGUCGCCAGCUGUCGCAUUACGCGAAAAACCGGCGGGAAAACAAGAACAACAGAGCCGCCACCGUGCGUUAUUUAUCCCAAAAGAGGGAAAGGAAACGCUCGAAGUUAAAACCUGGAAAAGACAUGUCUCGCGACCAAAGAGAAUGGGUCGGGAGUCGGUUAUGCGAAGGGAAGGUAUUAGGCACCCCUACGCAUCCGUCGUACUCGACGGGAUCCACGCACCAAUAGGAAGGAAUGGUUGCUAAAACACGCUCAAACCACAAACACCCUGGCUGAAGAGACACAAGAAAAAACAAAGAAUGACUCGGCAGGAUAUCGCAUCCUGGGCCUACUUAGUCUAUCAGGCAUAGACAUCAGAGUCGAGUAGUUCGGACGGGAAAAAACAUGCUCGCUAGGAUGUCGCAUCCUAUGCAUACGUAUCUUCUCGGACAAGAAGAAUCAGAGCAUCGUAGCUCGGCUGACACACACGCAAACAAAACCACACAGCGAAAUCCGACUGCCAAUCGCUGGACUUACGUUCAAUCCACACAAACAAUCAAACCACGGAAACGAAUGCCAAUCGCUGGACUUACAUCAGACUCCGAACCAAACACACGCACACUGGAAACCAAAUGCCAAUCGCUGGACUUACAUCAGACUCCGAACCAAACACACGCACACUGGAAACCAAAUGCCAAUCGCUGGGCUUACAUCGGACUCCAAGCACACAACAACAAUAAGAUACGGAAUGCCAAUCGCUGUUCUUACAUCCAUCUCCUAACACACGCAAAGACAAAACAAAAAGGGCGCCCGGAGAGAUCACCUCAUCUCCUGCCUACGUACCUCAUCUGGUAUGAGGAUCAGGGCGACGUAGUUCCCCUACGCAGGGACACAGGACUAGCCUAACCAGAUACAAAGGGAGACACAAACUACUAGGGAGACUACGACUCGAGCCUAGAAGUUGUCAUGCAUUAUAGCCCUAUGUUAAGGUUUCUAUCUAACUUGCACAGGAAGCAAGCUAACCUAAACAUGACUUGCACAAGAAGCAAGCCAAACUAAACCUAACUUGCACAGGAAGCAAGCUAAACUAAAAAAAAGCACAAGCACACAAGCACAAAUAGCACACACUAUAUGCAAUCAGUUGGCUCAAUCAAGGUUAGGUUUUAGUCGAGGGGUCAUAUCAACCUCGACAAAUAAACCACUGUAACAGGGUAAUGUUAGCUCUUAACCCUAACAUUGAGAGUUAGGGUGAAGCAGAUGAAAUAGGAAGUGAGGGGUGUGCCUCACAACUCUUAUCCCUGGCCUGGGAGAGCUUUAGACAAAGGAAUGUGUGGGUUCAGAAAGUGGAAACCCUUCUACACAUAUGACUGACUCAACAUGGAUCUUGGGUUAGUAUCUGCAAUGCAUCAACACAGUGGUGUGAGCAAAGCAGAUGACACAUAAAAUAGCAGGGGAUGGAUUACACAUCCCUUGUAUCUGCCAAUGCCUCUUCACUUAGGAGGUCUUUGAAUAUAUACAAGGACAAAAGUAAACAAACACAAACAUUGCCUCUUAAGGAGGACUUCAGACAGGUGCCUGACCAAAUAACAGGCCAGGUCUUCCAGACUACAUGAAGAAGGGAUGUUAUACCUCAGUGCUUAAGCUNAAUCCUACACCAUGCCUGGUGCUCACAUUGGCCAUCAACACCUCCAGUUGUGUGACGGAACUCUUGAGGUACGUAAGCCAUGUUCAGCAUCUUCAAUAAGGCAUUACGAUGUGCCUCAGAGCACUAGCAGCAAAAGCGAGUAUUGAAAUCUUUGGACGGAGUCUGAUUAAGUUGAAUCUACGAUCUUUUAUAAUCCACUCUUCUUUAUGAUCUUCAUAAACUCCUCCACGUCCUUGUUCCAAAUGAACCCUCAGGCACCUUCCUUCUGAGCCGGUUCUUUCGUCAUGAACAACCUGUUUGCCUUUUGACUUGCAGAAAGCCUCAGCAUUAGCAAUCUCUCAACGGCUGAGGAAGCAACAGUCGUCCACUUCGAGUAAAACCUCCGGUCCACCAACGGUUUUCCACAACGGGACUCCCACCACAGGAGUUUAACUGCGUGCACUGAUUGUCACAGGCGCUUGACUUACUGGCCUAAUCUGAUUCUCAGCCCUGACUGCUGCGGUAGGCAUUAUCAUAUUCCAUGCACAACCCUACUAUUCUCAAUGGUCUUCUUCCAGACGCAACGAUUAGUAGUUGGAGCACUGAUAGUUACAGGAGCGGAAAUUGGUAAAUUGGAGUUAACCACUUUGUUGCAGGUGGCACUAACAAACCCUCUGCCUCGUCCUUCAGACGUUUGAAAUAAUGGUGACAGUUGACACUGACCCACGAUUCUCUUACAGCCCUUCCCCCCCCCCCAUACUGAAUUUACAGGACAAUCCCUGAUUCCAUCAAACCCUGCGAUAUCCAGCCCGCCAACUGACACAUAACCAUGUGUCUUCAGAUUUCGCACAAUCAAUACAACCCUCGGUCACAGCCCGGCGUCUACACCCCAUUCAGCAAACAGCCCUCAACAAACUACUGAGAAGGUUCUGAAUAUCAUCAAGCAUUUAACAACCAGAUCUUCAGCUUCUUCUCCUUCAAUAUUGUUCACUCUUAUUGCCCACCCGGGCUGAGCAUAGGAUUGUUCACGACGUUAGGCACUGGAGCGAAAGUUGUUCGUCUUGCAUCGAUCAAAUCUUGGACUUUGUGCUUGGAAAGCCGGCAAUUUUCUCAGAAUAUGGGUACCCUUGUGUGCCCAGAGUGAAAGUCACAACGGACGGUUGGCGUCGUAUCCAGGUAGGCAAUAUUGUUGGCGGAUGCCAUUGUAACGCAAAUCAACCAAACCCCAACCUGAGUAGUUCGGGCAGCAGUUCGGGCGUACGACAUGGCUAGCAGAUCAAAACGUCGAUUCAGGCAUCCUUUGUCUGGGCUGAUACGGAACCAUUUGCUGUUGUUGUUGUUGUUGCGGUUGUUGAACUUUUGUUGUUUGUUGCGGAGGUUGACGUUGUUGAGGUGCAGGAAAUGGUCACUGCAGCAACCUGACGGUAUUGAUUUCUGUUCCACUUUUCCUCUGUAACACAUUUUCCCUCGGUGUUGUACAACAUUGGUUUCCCCCUCUCUCGGCGAGGUGCCCCACAAAUGCGUUUCUUAGACGAUGAGAACCCACAUCUUGAAUGCUUACCGGCCUUGAUUAAACUUUCAGUUCUCUAACCAAGAUUCACCACGUCUGAGAAACUACCGAAUGUGCAACUCCCCAUCCAGUCCAUAAAUACACCUUGAAGAGUACCAAUGACAUGUCGGGUUAACUCCCUCUCCAGGCAUAGGGGGUUGUACUCUUGCAGCCAGUUCACGCCAUUCUGGGCGUACUCCUUGAAGCUUUCACCAGAUUUUGACAUAGACUCAGCAGCUGAGUCUGGCUAGGCGCCAUAUCCAUGUUAUGCUUGUAUUGCCUCAGAAGGGCCUCUCCCAGAUCCCUCCAGGCAGGGCGGAUUCGAAUCUUCUCUUCAAUUCCAUGUACCAUUCCAAAGAAGCCCCAGAUAGACUAUCUUGGAAAAAGUACAUCACAUCUUCUCAUCGUCUGUGUAAGCAGAGAUCUUCCUGUAGUAGGCCGCACGUGGAGUGAGAGGGCAAAGAAGUGCGUUGUACUUGUCAAAAACGGUGCUUUGAAACUUAUAAGGAUUCUCAAACCUUCCACUAACCCCAUAUGGUAAAACAUCAAAACCCGAGAGAAUUCUGAGAUUCCAUAGCCCGGAUCUUCUCAGCAAGGCAUCAACUUUACGAUCCCUCUCAUCAACCCUUCCCAAAACGUCUUCGUCUUCACUGAGCAGUAUGAACAUUAUCCUCUUUGUCUGUCAAACAAUCGAAGCCUGAUUACGGGCCGGGAGGCACGGGACUACUCUGGCAUUAGCGGUAUCUGGGCAAUAGGUUGCCUGUUGAUUCAAUAUACCCCUCAAUUCGUCAACCUAAGCCAUAGUGUUGAUGGGCACAGCCGCAGUAGCAGGGGUCAAGUUGAUCGGGCCCCUCCCUCUGGCAGAGCUUGGUUGACCGUGGAAUUGCACUUCUUGUCUCUGAACUAGAGCUUCGGAGUUCUUCUUGACUUGCGCAACCCCUUGCAUCAUAUGCAUGGAACUGGGCCAUGUGGAGCCUCAUCUCAGCUAACUCAGCUUGCACUUGAUCCAUGGUUCUUUGAUGAUUCAGUCUGGUUGGAGUAAGCGAUGCGGUCUUGAUCACAUCCUUUGCCUGACAAGAACCAAAGUGAGAAGUCUACGAACAAGAACACUUGUUAUGCAAAAUUGAUAUAGUAUCGGUGCUAAUGAUGGCAUAUUGAUGCACAUGAUCAUGCUUCAUUUCUCAGGCAUUCAAAGAGGCCUGGUUCAUCCUCAAAAGAUUGGGCAAAACCUGCCAGCAGCAAGGGAACGCAUACGCAGAUAAUGAAAAUCAAAAAUGAAACACCAACAACCUUAUCUAUGAUAAGAGUAACAGGCUCAUACAAACAAAGCUCAACCAAAGAUCCAUACAUCGGAAUACAACAAUGAAUCCCAUCCACAAAGCCUGAGGUGAUCUCAACAUACAACAUCAAAGAUACAAGACUAAGACAAACGAUCUCCCGAAAUUGAGAGUUCUUCAAGUAUGGACACUGGUCAGCAAACUGGUCACACUCUGAAAACAUUCAUGGCCAAAGGAGUGAUCUUCUCCUUCAGUUGUUCUUCUGACUCUACCACUUCUCCUCCAGAUGGUUCUCUUGAUGCUGUCUCAAAUCUACUUCCUUCUUCAACUGGAUGUCUUUCGUCCUCUGAGUUGCUUUCUCUAGGUCUCUUUGCAUCUUCUUCUGAUAACUGGCUUCAGCUCUCUUGCAGCCUCAAAGCACUCCGGUUUCUGCAUCUACCAUGGCUUCCAUUCCUCGUAGGAUCAUCUUCUUGGCUUCUCAGUCUGCUAGCAUCUUCUCCCUGCACUCCUCUGAGUUUGAUGAAGCCAAGUUUAACCUAUCAGCUUUGGCUUUGUAAAGCUCCAUCUGGGUAUCUUGCUCCUUCUCUCUCAACGGCGAUUGCUCCAUCAGGGCUUGGCUUUUAGUGCUCAGCGGCCACACUCUCGCAACGGAAUCAAAGGUGUUGCUCCUGCCAACGCUCCAUCCUAAUCGCUAGAGGUAACAAACAAUCUCCACUCUCUCCCUUGAUCACUCGGUGUAGAUCAGGACAUAGCAAUGGCAAAACUUCUUCCCUAAGACAGAUCCAUCCUUAACACCAAUAAGACUUCCAAGAAAAUCUUCCUAUCUGCUCCAAUCGAGCCGGGUCCACUCCUUCUCAAAAGACACACUUUCAGGCUUACCUCAGCCUCAAGUUGGUUUUCCUUUCAUACAAACCCUAACUGGCCGAAGAGAAAGAACUGGAUUGUAAUUGAUUGCAACCCUUAGUCCCUACGGUGGCACGUUCCGAAACUCUCCACAAACUCAAAAAUAACAUUCCGCACAUCCAUCGCGGUAUGACUGCCAUUGAAUAUCAUAUGAAGUAGAGACAUACCCUCUGGUCCACUUAUGCGAUGCUCUGAGCAUCCACAAAAGUUCCACUGACUGGCAGGAGAGAACAUGAAACCAUUAUGAGCAAGGGGAGACAACAUCUGAUAGCUCCACCCUUACCAUGGCCUUACUGUGAAAUAGCAUAGUACAGUGUCAGCUACAGAGUAGGAAAACCGGUGUUUCCUCUGAGGGAAAAUAAUAACUGCAGCAUAGUCCACAAAGUUGGCAUACUCGGAACAGGACAAUCCCAUAGAUCAUGAAAUGGCCAACUAGCUGAAAAGCUUUCCCAAUUUCCCUUCUCUGCUUCUUCUCUAGCUACCCUCGACAGAAACUUUCAAAGGCAAACCCUCAAACCACCCACUGGCCUUCCCAACUAUCACUGAUUUCCCUUGACACCCAAACGGAGAGCUCUAGCAACAACUAUGAAAUCGACCUCCUUGGGCACGUCCAAGAAGGAACCUGAUGCCAAGAUCGAAACAUUCAACAGAAUGGAUACUCCUUUUGAGUAGGCGCCAACUGAUAAUCCUGAAAGGUGAAGCAACGAAAAGCUCUGGGUCGUAGAACUGAAGAAAGAGUCUUGCAACGGCACUGGAUCAACUACCAUCUCAAACAGCGUCAGAAUUAUCUCCAUACUGGUCAACAAAAACCCCUUCUGGUUACCACUGGGUCAUAAGGUUGCUCAAACUCAAUCAGAGACGUCAAAGGCUCACGGGUGAAAGCUGCUAUGAACAAGUCUUCCGCUUCAACUCUGGACUGUUCGCCAUCUUUAUCAGUGAAUUAGACUUGGAAUGUACCUGAGAUAAUGAUAUGCAUGCAAGGAUUAGUUUUUUUCUUUUUUUCCUUUUUUUUUCCUUUUUUUUUCAUUCUUUUUUUUAUUUGCUUAUUUUUUUUGAAAAUAAACUGGCUAUGAUGCAAAUGAUGCAGACAAGACUGGCUGCUGUGUUAUCUCAGGAACACAGGAUCGAAGCUUCGUUUUAGACUCGGAACCAACAUUCAUCUGAACCAAAGUCAACUGAGAAACUGUUCAAUCUGAAAACCCAUAGUCACCAACAGGGACCACAAGUCACCCACUGUACCUGUAAUAAUGAUAAAUCCCUCCCCACUCACGGCUGUUGUCUAGGCCAGGGUAAGCGUCGAGAGAAACGCAGCAAAAUAACCUUUCGCAGAAUUAUCAUCAUAUUAAUCACCGCUGCGAGUAUACAAUGAUUAAUAUCCCACAAGGGUCUGAACUGCCUCGUGACCAUCCAAUGUUCCGCUUAGAAUGGCGCGAUUACCACCCGCUUCCCAUGAAUCACUCUAUGCCUAAGUAUCCUAAAAUUUGCACUCAUGCCUGGGAUGAAUUGGGCCCUUUAUAGCCUUCGAGUAACUCCCACCCAACAAGAGAGAAACAGACAAAACCAGCCCAGCCAGAUGAGCAGUUGAAUAUGAAUGACAUGCGAGAACAUUAAAUGCACACCUAUAAAGCACAAAACAAUAAAAUAAAUUGAAUGCAAAUAAAUGAAACAAGCAAAAGUCAACCAAAUACUAAACCUAGAGAGCGCUAGGGAGAACUUGCUUAGGAAUGGACCAGCAAGAGGUCAACUUCUCAUGUUCCCCAGCAGGGAGUCGCCAAGCUGUCCAUUACGCGAAAAAACCGCGGGAAAACCAGAAACAACAGAAGCCGCCACGUGCGUUAUUUUCCCAAAGAGGGAAAGGAAACGCUCGAAGUUAAAACCUGGAAAAAGACAUCGUCUCGCGACCAAAGAGAAUGGAUCGGGAGGUCGGUUAUCGCGAAGGGAAGGUAUUAGGCACCCCUACGCAUCCGUCGUACUCGACGGGAUCCACGCACCAAAGGAAGGAAUACGGUUGCUAAAAACACGGCUCAAACCUCAAAACACCCAUGCUGAAGAGGACACCAAGAAAAAACAACAGAAAUAAACUCGGCAGGAUAUCGCAUCCUGGGCCUUACGUAGAGUCUAUUCAGGCAUAGACAUCAGAGUCGACGUAUUCGGACCAGGGAAAAAAACCAUGCUCGCUAGGAUGUCCAUCCUAUGCAUUUACCGUAUCUUCUCGGGAACUUAAAGAAGAAUCAGAGCACUCGUAAGCUCGCGCUAACACACGCCAAACAAAACCACACAGCGAAAAUCGACUGCCAAUCGCUGGACUUACGUUCAAACUCCACACAAACAAUCAAACCACGGAAACGAAUGCCAAUCGCUGGGCGACUUACAUCAGACUCCGAAAACCAAACACACGCACAACUGAAACCCAAAUUGCCCAAUCUGCUGACUUAAAUCAGGACUCCGAACCAAACACACGCACACUGAGAAACCAAAUGCAAAUCGCUGGCUUACAUCGGACUCCAAAGCACACAAAACAACAAUUAAGAAUACGGAAUGCAAUUCGCUUGUUUCUUGACAUCCAUCUCCAACACACGCAAAGACAAACAAAAAAAGGCGCCCGGAGCAUCACCUAUCUCCUGCCUACGUACCUCAUUCUGGGAUUUUUUUUUGAGGAUCAGAGGCGACGUAGUUCCCCUACGCAGGACACAGACUAUGCCCUAACCAGAUACAAAGGGAGACACAAAACUACUAGGGAGACUACGACUCGCAGCCUAGAAGUUGUCUGCCAUUAUAGGCCCUAUGUUGAAGUUUCUAUCUAACUUGCAACAGGAAGCAAAGCUAAACCUAAACAUGAUUGCCACAAGAAAGCAAGCCAAACUAAACCUAACUUGCACAGAAGGCAAGCGUUAAAACUAAAAAAAAGCACAAGCACACGAAGCACAAAUAGCACACACUAUAAUGCCCAUCAGUUGGCCUCAUCAAGGUUAGGGUUUUAGUCGAGGGGUCAUAUCAACCUCGACAAAAUAAACCACUGUAAACAGGUAAUGUAGCUCUAACCCUAACAUUGAGAGGUUAGGGUGAACAGCAUGAAAUAGGAAGUGAGGGUUGCUGGCCUCACAACUCUUAUCCCUGGCCUGGGAGAGCUUUAUUUUCUUUUGGACAAAGGAAUGUGUGGGUUCGAAAGUGGAAACCUUUACACAUAUGACUGGACUCAACAUGAUCUUGGGUUAGUAUCUGCAAUGCAUCAACCACCAGUGGUGUGAGGCAAAGCAGAUGACACAUAAAAUAGCAGGGGAAUGGAUUACACAUCCCUUGUAUCUUUGCCAAUGCCUCUUCACUUAGGGACUCCAGGUCUUUGCACCUAUUUAUUUUUUACAAGGACAAAAGGUUACAAACAAACCACCAAACGAUUGCCUCUUAAGGAGGAACUUCAGACAGGUGGCCUGACCAAAUAAACAGGCCAGGUCUUCCAGACUACAGAUAGAAGAAGGAUCCGGCAACAUUAAUCCAUCCAAAAUAAACUUAAGCUAUCAAGACAAAGCAAAAAGUCAAGUUCCACAAGGAAAACUAUAGCAACUAAGGUACCUGAAAAACAGAGUGGCAUUCCAACAUAAUCCUCCCAAGAAUCGUAUACCAGACCAAACAAAAGUCAAUACCAACUCAUAGACUGGUCAAAACAAUUAACUGUUACAGUUCAAACAACAAUCAAGCCCAACAGCAAUGCAACAAAGUGCAAGCCACAAGGCCUAGGUACAAGUCUCAAAACCUACAAAACAAACUCAAGGUUAGUCAUAAACAAGCAAUGGACCAACUCCAAUUGAGUGCACAUCAUCAAGUAUAAGCAAUUGUGCUCUUUGACCUGAAACAAAGAUCAAACAUUAAGCACUAACCACUAGGACAAGGCCUAGGGUCAAAAUGGGAGCAAUAAACCAAAACAGAACAUGAAAAUUAUCCAAAAUCAAGUUCAAUCAAAUAAGAAACAAAUCCAAGUGGUCUCACAUUCAUAUCAUCAAUCAAUUUCAUUUCAUGAAGCAUAGAAGGCAAAGCAUGCAAUUUAGAACCUCAUAGGACCAAACAGAAUGAUUCAAUUCAAAUCAACUCACAAAUAUUUCAAUAAAUCUCAAGAAAAUUCAUGUUCAAACAACAUUCAUAACAUGAUCUACACACCAAAUUUCAAGUCAUUUGGACAAAGGGAAGCAAGUCAAUUAAAUUCCAUAAGUCAAAGCAUGUUCAAACAAGCUCAUACAAGGCACUAAAUCAUACAUCAACUUCAAGCAAGCAUAAAACAGAAUCCAAACAUGAUAUGGACAUCAAACCAAAGCCAUGGCACACUUCAAUGUGUCUAGAAUACAUAUGCAAAAUUUCAGGUCCAUCCAAUAAACAACAAGAAUUUCACAAAUCAAAUAAGAUCAUGACUCACAAAUGGUCCACCAAUGGCCAAACAGCAAAGAAAUUCUCAAACAAAUUGGAAAUGCACUCAAACAAUCCACAAAAAUUCACACUCAAACUUAACAUCCAGAAGAAUCAACAUGCAAAAGUUCAGGUCAUUUUGAGUUCAUAUGGCAUGGUAAAGAAAUUCCACAAAUUGGACAAGAAAUGGUGUGACACACAUUGUCACACCUCCAAUGAUCAGAUCAUAUCUCACAAACCAGAAAUGCAAAAAUCACAAACUCUAUACCAAAAUGCUCCUCAAGGUGUCUAGUUUACACAUAUAAAAUUUCAGCUCCAUUGGAUUAAACAUCAAGAUUUCAUAAAAGAAAUGGCAAGCAAGGUGCAACAAAUGACAUGUAUGAACAUUCCCUAAGCCCAAACACAAUUUUUGCAAAAAUCAUCAUAAAAUAGUAGACAUGGCAAGGAUCAUGGCACAAAAAAUCUCACAUCAAUUGGACAAAUGGUUUGAGAGUUAUUAAUUUUGGAAUGGCAUGAAAAAUAAAAAAACAUGUGGAAAUGCAUAUGAACAUGUGAAGCAUAUGGUGAGAAAAUGCCAAAGCCAAGAUGAGAAACCGCUGGCGCCAGGACUCGAACCGCGUUCGAAUUCAAAUAUGGCGCUACUUAAGUGAAACGCCGCGUUUCACUUAAGUACAGUUGGCAAGGAGAACGAACCUAAACCAAUCAAAUGGCCACGGCGUGUCCAGGUGGACCAGUACAUGGCAACUAACAGAAAUUCACAUGCACAACACGAAAUACAAGAUCAAACGCGGGUUCUGGGAAAGAAAAUAUUAGGGUUUCAUACGUGUUCUUCAUGAAUCUCCAGAUUAUGAACAAACGUUCCAGAAUUUCAUGAACCAUGCAUCAUUCGAUUCAUCUUCUAACACACAUCACAUAUCCAGCAUUGAUUUUCUCUAAUUCUAACUAUAUCAAACGAAUCAUGCACAACAAGUUUCACUCAUCAAAAUUCAAAUCAACAUAACUCUCUCAAAACUCAAUGAAAUUUCACGAUUUAAAGUUCAUUACAACCAGCAACAAAGGGCAUCUAUAAGAGGCACAUGAUAAUUGGAAGACAGUAGAGCAUUUCGAAUUUUUACCUUGCUGAUGAUGCAGCUCUGGAAUCGUGCUUCUCAAGUCCUCAAAUGCUAAAACAGAUGUUCUAUGUUGCUUGAGUGAAUGAAUGGAUGCAGGAUUCCAGCUCAGCAGUGCUUGAUAUGAUGGGAAUCUUCAAUUGCCAUGGGAGAUGCUAUGCUCAACAGUCCGUGAUUCUUCAAGAAAUCUUCACAAUCUUGCUUCAACAGUUCUUCACAAUGCUGGUAAAUGAUGAAUAGAUCGAAAAGCAAGCAACAGAAAUGAAGAAAAAUGAAGAAAAGAGUUGAGAGAAUUUGAGAUGAAAAGUUUAGAUCUGAGUUUGUGCAGUUGUUCAUGCUGAAAUCUGUUAGGGUUUCACUUAUAUAUCACCUAUUAAGCAAGUUCUUAAUCAUGUUUAGGCAUUUGGCAAGUGGAAUUAGUGAAAGCAAGUGUUUAUGCAAAAUUGAUAUUUCCACCUCUAUGCAUGGUAUGAAUGGAACAGUACACGAAAUUGGGCCUAAUUAGGCAUUUGGCAAGUGGAAUUAGUGAAAGCAAGUGUUUAUGCAAAAUUGAUAUUUCCACCUCUAUGCAUGGUAUGAAUGGAACAGUACACGAAAUUGGGCCUAAAUCCACUCAAAAUUCUGUUUGCAAGCCAAUGGAAAUGUUGCCAAGUGUAAAUAAUGCAUUAUUUUAAGAUUUGAGAAUUCCAUCCAAAAAGUCAAGUGAAAAAUAAAAUAAUUUUGUGAUGAGAAUGCAUGACUUGUGAUGAAUGAUUAUGAUAGAGCAUGUUAAAAGGAUAUUGUAGCAAAAAACCCCACUCCAUUUGGCCUUGUGGUAUGAAAGUUAUGCUAGCUUGAACUUCAAAUUUCCUUGACAAUGAUUUGAUCAUAACUUGCCAACCACACAUGAGAAAUUCAUGUUCUUGGACUUUUUGGAAAGGUGAGAGCAAGAUCUUCAACUUUCAUGUUGGAUACAAAUUCAUUUGAAGCUUGUAUGAUGAUGUAGAUUUGAGGAGAAGACCUUUCCAUUUUUGGCAGUUUCCAAUUACAGGUCACUUACUAUUUUUGGAAACUUUUCAUCUGACCUCAAAUUCUUCAAUGUUGAUCUUUGUAAUGUCAAAUGAGACUUGUAUGGACAUGAAUGAGGCCUCUCUAACCAUCUCCCACUAUUUUUGGAAACUUUUCAUCUGACCUCAAAUUCUUCAAUGUUGAUCUUUGUAAUGUCAAAUGAGACUUGUAUGGACAUGAAUGAGGCCUCUCUAACCAUCUCCCACCUUCAAAUCCAUGAUUUCAGGCAUAGUUGACAACAGUUGACUUUCUAGGGUUUCAAAUGAGAUUCAGCUUGACUGUUGAGCUUUGAUCAUCCAAUCCUUGGCCAAACCACUUCAAAAUGAUCCCUAGGUCAUAUGAACUUGAUGAACCAACCCUAGGACUUUGCUUCAAUAGGAAUUGCACUUGCUUGCUUGAUUAACUAGAUCUUCUGACCAGUCUUGACUGAUGAACUUGCACUUGGCAAAUGGACAAGGCAAUGCUAUGCAGUGGACAAUGUAAUGUUAAUGACCUAAAAUGAAAAUGUAUGUACAAAAUGGUAGGUGCAAAUUUGAGGUGCUACA